This 246-nucleotide unclassified non-coding RNA is filed under the name Hevea brasiliensis (rubber tree). The record is from RNAcentral. Lineage: Eukaryota; Viridiplantae; Streptophyta; Magnoliopsida; Malpighiales; Euphorbiaceae.
ACCACGCUCUCUCAGUGCAAGAGAUAGUGUUUCGCCAGGGCCAACAUUGUAAUAAGCAAGGGUGAGAUUGUCCUUGAGAAAACCUGCCCGGCCACUCAGUUUCUGUUUAUUAGCAGGUAGCUGAAUCUCCCCAGCAAUCUUCUCUUUCAGACUUGCAAUACUCUCCGAUAAAGACUGGAUUGUGAUCUCCAAAACUUGUCCUUUUAAGUUCCCUUCAUCCACAUUAGGAACGGCAACAGAGAUUCG